AUUCAUAUAGUUUAAAAAUAAAUAUUUUAUUUUCAUUAAAAAGAAAGAAUAUAAAAUUCUUAUGAAUA
This 68-nucleotide transfer RNA is filed under the name Iassus dorsalis. RNAcentral's name for it is "tRNA-Glu". Lineage: Eukaryota; Metazoa; Arthropoda; Insecta; Hemiptera; Cicadellidae. The record is from RNAcentral.